ACCAACUCAGAGCCUUCAUAAAAUCGUACCCUGCGGACAACACGGCCGGAGGGGCCUCCAUGAAAUCCAACCCGGGGAGACAGCACUCCCUAAGUAGAGUUGGAGGAAUCUGUGGGGACACUUUGGGUUGUCACAGUGGCACUGAGUGAUGGCAGCCAGGGAUGCUGGAUGGCGAGCAAUGCCCUGGCGAGAACAAUCAAAACCUGUCCUGCAUUCCAUACACUUCUGGAGUGUUCCUCAGACACCAGGGUUCCCCAUCCUGCGGUCACAAAAGUCCUGGCAUGUCCUUGGGGACUAUCCUAGGUCAGAAUUGCUCAGGGAAAUGAAGGCUCUGGGAUGCAGAACGGAGAAUGCUUUGCUUCUAGAGCAAGAUUAACUAAGUACCACAUGGGAAAACACAAUAUCUGAAAAAAGAUGAGAGGUCCAGAAGAAAGGGAGAUGAAUGACUUCAAACCACCAAUACCUUGAGCUGAAUGCCAGGUUCUGCAACUGCUCGGAAUGGGGUGGCUUGCCAAUAUGUCUGCUCCGUCUGCUUCCACAUGACCACGUAGAAGCUGGAGCUAUCUUGGUAGCCAAAGAUAAAGCCUGCAUAGUCAUCAUCUGUCUGGGUAUUCACAUGGAAGGUCCCUUCGAAGUCAACUCCAUUAAAAGCUGUGUACCCUGUAGGGACCAGAUAAGAUUAGAACAAUAGACAAACCACACUAGUAGCUGGAAGAAUUCUAUGUGAGUGGCAACUGAGGCCCUGGACAUACCCACUGCCAGGCCAGGAUCACUGUUCAUGGUCUGUACAAUCUCCAUGCCCUGCAGAGAGAGUUGAGGGAGUUCAGAACAGUCUUGAAGGGGCCAAGUAACCUUAAGGAAGCUCAAAACCUCAGGCACCAUAUGAGUGAGUGGCCAGUGAUGUCUGACCUCCAUAUAAAGAUUUCAUUAUCUGAAAUAGUUGCUCUAUUGUGUUAUGUGCUCAAAGAAAGCAUGUGCUUGUAAAGGUUAAAAAAAAGCUCAAAGCUGAAUAGAAAUAAGUUUGCUGAGACUGUCACUUAAGCUGAUUGGACAGGCCCUUAACUGGGGAGCAUACAACAUAUACUUCUAAUCAAUGUGACUUGCUCUGUGACUCUGGAAAAUCUACUAAGCCUCUCUGUGCCUGCACUUCUUAGUUACACAAUGAGGAGGAUAUGCAGAAGGCAGUCUGCUGCAGAGAUCAGAAGUGUGGGUUCUAGGGUCAGACUGCCUGGGUCCCAAUUCCAGUCAUCUCAGCUACUUACCACAGUGCUACCAUCAUUAAAGCUGCUACAAUCAUGAAA
Molecule: long non-coding RNA, 1301 nt
Filed under: Homo sapiens (human)
Lineage: Eukaryota; Metazoa; Chordata; Mammalia; Primates; Hominidae
Description: THBS4 antisense RNA 1
Source: RNAcentral